GGAGGGAGUAGAAGAAAAGGCAAUAUCACAAUUUGUGAGAACUGCCUGUUGUAGAUCAGGCAAAAACUCUAGUGGAAAUAGUCUAGAACAAUUUGUCAGCAAUCAGGCAAAAAAUUCCACCAAAUCACCAGGUAAAGGUCCAACUCUCUUUUGCAAAAAGAAAAGAAGAAGCAUGAUUCCUUUGUAGUGUGUAAAAACUCUACUAUACACCCACGUUUUUGCAGCUUGAUUUUGGAUCUUUUACAAUGGUGAGCCUAUUAUUGUCGCACCCCCUUGCUUGUUGAACCUGGAUGUUAGAGAGAUCCUGAGCUCUUGUUUGGUGUUAUUUUACCGUCUUGCACCUGGCCUCUGCAAAGGAAGAAAAAACAUAUAGAAAGUUGCUUAGAGAAAACCCAUGUAGGAAACCAACUGAGCAUAGUUGCAGCAGCAUAGUUGCUUCAGGGGGGGGGGGGAUUGCAAGUUCAAUUGAGUUGAGUUGUUCAAAAAAAAUCCUCUGUUCAAACGAGACAUCAAAAAACUUUGCCUGCAUGCUUUGAAAAAAGUAGUCUGAAACUAGAGAAUAAAGUCUACACGCUGAAGUUUCUCUGCUAUUAGCGGGCAAAAGGGAUUAACGUUCUCAUAAUUGAAAACAACAUGUAAAUUGCCUACAUGGUGAAGUUGAAAACAACAUAAGAAACAUGAACCUUUCUCUCGGAAUAUGUGUGUUGGUAGGCGACUUCGUGCUGUGAUUUUAGUGGUGUUGUGAGCGACUUUAGCAAGUGAUGCUUGAUUGAGUUGGCUCUCAGCGGGGCCAGCGGUGGGGCAGAUGUUGGUAGGGGGUGGGAGUUAGUUUCACCCGGUUAGGCGACUUUGUAAUCGGGCCAAGGCGACUACGUGUAAGGUCUUAGGCGGCUCUUUGUGUGUGACUUGGGCUUGGGCGAGUUAGUGUUUUGUGAUACUUUAGGAUUGCGACAACUCUGUGUCGCAAAUUUAGGGGGUGUUGUAAGCGACUUUAGCAUGUGGGCUUGAUCGCGUUAGUUCCACCGACUAGGCGACUUUGUAGUCAGGCCAAGGCGACUACGUGUAGGGGCUUAGGUAUCUCUUUUUCAGUGAUUUGGGGCUUUGGGCGACUUAAUGUAUUGGAAUACUCUAGGAUUGCAGCAACUAUGUGUUGGUUGGUAGGCGACUCUGUGUUGCGAAUUUAGGGGUGUUGUAAGCGACUUUAGCAUAUGGGCUUGGUCGAGUUAGUUCCCCCGGUUAGGCGGCUUUGUAGUCGGGCCAAGGCGACUAUGUGUAAUGGCUUAGGUGGCUCUUUUGUGUGACUUGGGCUUGGGCGAGUUAGUGUUUUGUGAUACUCUAGGAUUGUCGCGACUAUGUGUUGGUUGGUAGGCCACUCUCUAUCGCAAAUUUAGGGGUGUUGUAAGUGACUUUACCAUGUGGAAUUGGUCNNNNNNNNNNNNNNNNNNNNNNNNNNNNNNNNNNNNNNNNNNNNNNNNNNNNNNNNNNNNNNNNNNNNNNNNNNNNNNNNNNNNNNNNNNNNNNNNNNNNNNNNNNNNNNNNNNNNNNNNNNNNNNNNNNNNNNNNNNNNNNNNNNNNNNNNNNNNNNNNNNNNNNNNNNNNNNNNNNNNNNNNNNNNNNNNNNNNNNNNNNNNNNNNNNNNNNNNNNNNNNNNNNNNNNNNNNNNNNNNNNNNNNNNNNNNNNNNNNNNNNNNNNNNNNNNNNNNNNNNNNNNNNNNNNNNNNNNNNNNNNNNNNNNNNNNNNNNNNNNNNNNNNNNNNNNNNNNNNNNNNNNNNNNNNNNNNNNNNNNNNNNNNNNNNNNNNNNNNNNNNNNNNNNNNNNNNNNNNNNNNNNNNNNNNNNNNNNNNNNNNNNNNNNNNNNNNNNNNNNNNNNNNNNNNNNNNNNNNNNNNNNNNNNNNNNNNNNNNNNNNNNNNNNNNNNNNNNNNNNNNNNNNNNNNNNNNNNNNNNNNNNNNNNNNNNNNNNNNNNNNNNNNNNNNNNNNNNNNNNNNNNNNNNNNNNNNNNNNNNNNNNNNNNNNNNNNNNNNNNNNNNNNNNNNNNNNNNNNNNNNNNNNNNNNNNNNNNNNNNNNNNNNNNNNNNNNNNNNNNNNNNNNNNNNNNNNNNNNNNNNGACUCUAUGUAGCAAAUUUAGGGGUGUUGUAAGCGACUUUAGCAUGUGGGCUUGGUCGAGUUAGUUUCCCCGGUUAGGCGACUUUGUAGUCGGGCCAAGGCGAUUGCGUGUCAGGGCUUAGGCGGCCCUUUUGUGUGACUUGCGCUUGUGCGAGUUAGUGUUUUGUGAUACUCUAGGAUUGCGGCGACAAUGUGUUGGUUGGUAGAUAACUCUGUGUCGCGAAUUUAGCGGUGUUGUAAGUGACUUUAGCAUGUGGGCUUGGUCGAGUUAGUUUCUCCGGUUAGGCGACUUUAUAGUCGGGCCAAGGUGACUACGUGUAGGGGCUUAGGUAUCUCUUUUUGAGUGAUUUGAGGCUUUGGGCGACUUAGUGUAUUGGGAUACUCUAGCAUUGCGGCGACUAUGUGUUGGUUGGCAGGCAAUUAUGUAGCGAUUUUAGGGGUGUUGUAAGCGACUUUAGCAUGUGGGCUUGGUCGAGUUAGUUCCCCCGGUUAGGCAACUUUGUAGUCGGGCCAAGGCGACUACGUCUAGGGGCGUAGGCAACUCUUUUUGAAUGAUUUGGGGCUUUGGCGACUUAAUGUAUUGGGAUACUCUAGGAUUGUGGCGACUAUGUGUUGAUUGUUAGGCGACUCUGUGUUGCAAUUUUAGGGGUGUUGUAAGCGACUUUAGCAUGUGGGCUUGGUCGAGUUAGUACCCCCGAUUAAGCGACUUUGUAGUCGGGCCAAGGCGACUAUGUCUAGGGGCUUAGGCAGCUCUUUUCUAGUGAUUUCGGGUUUAGGGCGACUUUGGCCGUUUUAGUGUAGCAACUUUAUGUGUGUAGGGUUGUCUGAACGGCUUUAGCGUGUGAGCCAUGGUAGAGUAGACUCGCUGCGGGGGCACGGUGGGACUGCCGUGACAGGGGAGCGAGUUAGUUCCCUCCGCUUAGCCGACUUUGUUGUCGCGCGAGGCGACUGUGUGUAGGGGCUUUGGCAGCCUUUUUUGUUGAUUGAGGCUUUGGGCGACUUAGUGUAUUGAGAUGCUCUUGGUGUGGUGACUAUACGUGGGUUGGUAGGCGACUCCGUGCCUACAAACAAAAAUGUCUGAAAUUCUUCAGUUGAAAAGAUGCCUGCAUAUUCAAAAGAUGCCUGCAAUAAUGUCUGAAACUACAAUUAAGAUGCCUACGUAUCACCCAGAACUGCCUACAAACAAAAUAUCUGAAAACUUACAGUUGAAAAGAUGCCUACAAUAAUGUCUGGAACUAUAAUAAUUCCUUGAAGAUAAACCGAGGCUGCUCCCUAUGAAAAGGCCAGCCCUACACUUACACAUGCUUAUUGUUCACUCAGAGAGAAGUGGCUAUGCUCAAAUACUGCACUUUGCUAAAUCUGCACAUCUACUGAAUUCAAAAAUAGAUAAAAAAAGAUAGAAAAUUCAGAGCAGCCAUACUAUUGCAUGAUUUCAUCUAAGGAACCUUCGCUAGAUCUGUACGACAACAUAUAUCUCAAGCAAAAAGGUAGGAGCAUAUCCCAGCACAGAUAAUAGAGCGAACUUUUGACUGAACUUCACUUUUUAACAGUACUAAGAAUAUCAGGAGGGAAUUUCCAGAAUAAUACAGACUUGUGCUACCACAUAUUCUAGAGAGAUCAAUUUGUAACUCCUGCUUACAGUAACAGAUAAAAAAGCUAGAAAAACACGUUGUAUUGCCUGAAAAAAACACCAUAUUACCUGGAAAAAACAUAUUCUAAUGCCUAGAAGAUGGCAGGUGCUCUGUGUGUUUCUCUUUGGUUGGUUAAAAUGUAGGCAAGUACGGAGAACAUAAUUAGGCAAAAAUCAAAGUAGAAAACUAGGUCAUGCAGCAGUAGAGACACGCACAAAGUUAUAUAUGAUGGAAAAAAGGGAGAAAAAAGGUUAAAAAAAAUCGGAGCUUCAAUUGAUAGAUCUCCGUUUUGUGUAUUAUUACUUACUUAUUCACAUCGGCUGAGCUUCUUUGUCGCCCAGUUGAAGUUUGUCUACAUCACUUCCGACAAAGUUGCCAUUCUGGAAGUAUGUCUAUUCACACAUAAGAGAAAAAAGAAGUGGCAUAGCUUAUAUGUUAGUGGGACAAAACAUGAUGCUGAUGUAGGCAACAUAUCUUAUCACACGUAGUGUGUGGUGGCUUUAUGUUGCAAAUCAACUUCACAUCCAAAAAAAAUUAGGAAGGAAAAACCCAAGCAAUGCAGUACUAAGUAAUUUUUGCCUACUGUUCCUCUACAAGUGAAGUGUUUUUUCCUACUUUAUGUCAUGCAGUAUACUAAGUAAUUUUUGCCUACUGUUCCUCUACCCUCUGUAGCUUGUAUUGCCUCAAAAAACAAAUUGUAUUGCCUAGAAGAAACAUAUUACUAUUUGCCUAGCAGAUAACGCAUAUUAUUUCAUACUGUAUUGCCUAAAUACAUAUCCUAUUUGCCUGGGGAGUGGGGAACAUGACCUUAUUUUCUUGAAGAUGGGUGCUCUUUGUGUUUUUCUCCCAGGGAUAUAGGCAAGCAUGGAGGGUUCUUUGUGUUCGUUCAUACAAUUGGGCAUCAAUUUCUCUCUCGAUUCACCCCUCUACCUCCAUCCUUAUCCCUAUCACCGCCGUGGGUACCGACGACACAUUGGCGACCAAAUCUACGCACGUUUCGUUGUGGACGAAAAAACAGGAGGGAUGGCCUGCAUCUGAUACUCACCUCCUUCCCCCCGGAGACGUAGCACUCCGCCUUGCUGACGCUCGCCAUCCUCAGGCCGCUGACCAGCUUCUCCUGUCCCGAUCUGUCCUCACGUGUGUGCGCCCUUCGCCUGCCGAUGCGGUGCCCAUCUACCGCCGGCUCGCACCCCGUCCCCUUGGCCCGUCGUCGCCGGACUACGCCGGACAGGCUCGCCAAAGAAAGGAUUUCAUCUCCCCUAGUCGCUGCACGGGGUGAGAGAGAGAGGGGGGAAAUGUGCGUCUUCCAGCGUGCACGGCUGGAUCGCGCGCGUGCGUCGCCCAGCGUUUGGGUUGUGACACAGUAUCUCGUUCGGUCACGAGCCCGGGUCCGGCUCUCGCUCGAAGGGGGCAAAGCUCAAAUCGUUCGGUCACAAGUCCGGGUCCGGCUCUCGCUAGAAGGGGGCAAAGCUCAACCUAUAUAACUGCGUCGACGGCAGUAGCUUUCCCCGUGCACCAUACUACGCCCCCCUCCAGUCUACCUCCACCCACCGGAUCAUUGGAAUCCAGUUCGCGAGAAGAUCGGCGACACCGCGCACCGAGCAUGGCAGCUGACCAGCACCGCCGCGCACCGAGCAUGGCAGCCGACCAGCAACGUCGCGUGAAGCUGAUAGUUAGCUACGGCGGGAGGAUCGAGCGCGCCGAGGGUCGGCCGCCGAGGUACGUCGGCGGCGAGCAUCUGCUCCUCAACGUCCUUUCGUCCGUCUCGACGAGGGGCUUCCGCGACCUGCUGGCGGCGCGCGCGUGCUUCUCCAACUUCUCCGUCAAGUACUGCUACUCCGGCGAGGGGCUGGACUCGCUCUGCGACGUGGACACGGACGAGGACCUCCGGGACAUGCUGGACAUCUUGCUCUACCGGGACCUGCAGGCCCGGCUGUUCAACGACCAGAACACGCGCAGGUUCCGGGUCUACCUGUUCCGCGACGCCGCCGCCCCGUCGCCGACCUCCCAGGCCCUCGGAAAACCAGCUCCCAUGCGGCGUAGCGCGACGUCGCCAGCUCUGUUGUCGGCGAAGCCGGCCGACGUCGGCGGGCGGCCCUCCCAUGGCCUGGCCGCUCCCGCUCCCUCUCUGGUGCCGCGGAUCACGACGUCGCCGAAUCCGUUGUGCGAGACGUCGACGGUUGGCACGGCGCCCUCCAAGCCGCCGCUCGCCCCCACUCUCGCACGGCGGAUAGCGUCGUCGCCUUUGUUGACGGCAGACUCGACAGAUGACACGCCUUCUUUGAUCACCACCACGUCGACAUCAGCAGCCAGAGCUACGCAACAUACACCACCCCACGCGGCGGCGUUCUGGCCGGCAGAGCAGCAUAAUCCGGUGUACCAGGCGGCUCCAGUAUUCUUGGUGCCAUUAAUGCCGCAGGUCAUAAUCCACCGGCCGGCGGUCAUCCUCGUACCCAUGUUCAAUUCAAAGGUGGCCAUGGGCUGAGAAUUUUUGGAGUCACAAUCGAAUAUGAAAAUACUCACUCAAGUGAGAAUUAGCAAUCCAUAGUUUGUGUAGAUUAGAUCUCUCACAGGUUGCAGAUAUGAGGCGACAAAUCAAAAUUCUAGAUUGAUCAGUGAUUAUGCACUAUGGGAUGUAACUUAUAGGCGUGACUUCAAUUUUUCUUAUAGUUUACUCUAAAUUGUUUAUAUAUUUUAUAAUUAAUGAUGUCAAAUCCUCUAUAUUCAGUGUUAGUAUCACCACAAGGUUGAAUGGUGGUUGAGAGAGAGAAAACAAUUUCACAAGGAUGACAAGCAAGGGUUUGACACGUUGCUCAUUGCGAGCAGCGGCGAGUUUACUAGACAGGCUUAAACAGGCUCAAGCCUGCCCUCCAAAAAACAAUACUUUUUUACUAGUACUACUACUACUUUCAUCCCAGCUCAAUAGAACAUAUAUUAUUGAGACAUGCACAGCGGACAGGCAUCUCAAAUGAAUGCCCAGCCUCCAAUUAUUGUGUAAUUACUAGUUCAUGUACCGUUAACCAAUUUAGUGUCCAAUGCAACUUAUUUGCAAAAAAAAAAGAUACAAAAUAUGAGUAUGCAUGCAUGUACCCCUCACGCUAAACCUGAACCUAUCCCAUGUAAUAUGAACCCAGAUACCCUUCCCUUUGCUAUUGUGAUUGUAAUCCCUCCUCCAACUUAUAUGGACAACAAAAUAGAGAGAUAAUGGUUAUUUUGCAAGAUAAAUUCAAAUUUUUGUUCAAAAUUUCAUAUGUUUUUAAAAAAAUCCUAGAAAAAAUCUAGUUAAUGCCAAAAAAAAUACUAAUUUGGGAAGUUCUAAGCUUAUUUUGACAACCAGAUUAAGGCAUCAUGUUUAAUUUUUUCUUCAAAAGAGAGUUUAGUUUUCUCGCCGUUGACUUAAGCCUACCCUUCAUUUUCUUCCUUGAUUCGCCACUGAUUGCGAGCAUGUGGGUUCUUUGGAAGCAACGCAAUGCUAGGAUUUUUAACGGAGUCGACCAACAAAAGGAUGCUAGGGAGCUUGCCGCUAUGAUCCUUGGUGAGGUAGCCGAGUGGCGGCAAGCAGGUGUUGGUGUUGGUGGCCUGCAACGAUUUGUGAGGAGUUAGUUUAGGCGUCCUAGGUGGUGUUGGUGUCGUGUUUGUGUGGUCGUGUGUGCGCACUCGAGCCACACUUCUUUUUAAUUAUGCUUUCUACCUUUUAUAAAAAUAUGGUACGCCAUUGGCGUAUUCUCAAAACAAAAUGUUAGUAUCACCAUGUGUGUACAUCCAACUUUAGUGUGCCUUUUUUGAACUACACGCUGAUCUUGUAUAGUGCAAUCUCUUUAGACGAGCUUCGCUUUCAAUAUUUUAUGUUUUAACAUGUGGAUAUUUGUUUUGGCUCCGGCCCUAUAUGCUACUGAAAUGUGCACAGUCCAUCUUCUUAUAGCUUCGUGCGUCAAGUUGUAUUGUCCUUUAUAUUACACAAUAUGCUCUCCGUUUUGAAACAAUAACGUGGCCCAUGUCUGGUCCUUAUUAGACGAGCGUAGUCCGUUUGUUUGUCGUUGGUCUAGACGGGGACGAGACACUCAUGUCCCACGUCUUAAUGUUUUGCAUAGUUAAGUGAAAUAAAAAAUACCAAAGAAAACAACUCGCUGAUGGAGGUGUCGGUAUUGGAGGAAUCAAUAGGUAAGUUAUGUACUCCCUAUGGUACCAUGGUGUCCCUAGAUGGAAUAACACAACAUACCUUCAGAAAUAUUGAACCGCCAAAGAAUCCUCUACUCACACCACCGUCAAUAUUAAAACUACAGAAGGUAUGUAAUUUCAAUGAAAGUAAUUAUCCUCAUAAUUUGUGCCCAUCGAUGAAAAAUGGCAGGGGCGGAGGCAUGAGCCAGGUAGGGACGGGCGCCCGUAUGUCUCGCUGUAAGCGAGACAGAAGGCAAGCCUCGCGUCGGGGAAGCUCCAGAAGGGCCGGCUCAGCCGCGCAGGAGGCUACAUCCUCCUUUACUAUUUUUUUACAUUUUAUGUUUUCUUUUUUGCUUUAUUUUUUUACUUUUGUUUAUACUUUAAAAUUCUAAAUAAAUAUUACAAAACAAUCUAUAAAAAACAUUAAAAAAUAUUGAGCAAGCAUUUGAAAUAUUAAACGUGUAUAUAGAAAAUAUUUAUCAUGUAUAAAAAUGUAUUAAAAAUUGACCAUAUAUUUGAAAAAUGUUAAUCAAGCAUUUGAAAAACGUUUGAAUAAGUAUCUGAAAACUGUUAAUCAAGCAUUUGAAAAAAGUUAAAUGUGUAUAGAAGGAGCGUUGAGCAUGUAUUAGAAAAAUGAUGAAAUGUUUUGAUCAUGAAUACAAAAAAUGUUAAUCAAGAAUUUCAGAAAAUGUUGAACAACUAUUUGAAAAAUGUUAAUUAAGCAUUUGGAAACUAUUAACUGUGUAUAAAAAAGUUGAUCAUAUAUUAAAAAUGAUGAAAUUUGUUUACCAUGUACAUAAAAAUGUUAAUCAAUCAUUUAAAAGAAUGUUGAAUAAGUAUUUGAAAAAUGAUAAUUAAGCAUUUGAAAAUGUUAAAUGUAUAAUGAAAAAAUGUUGACCAUAUAUUUGAAAAAUGAAGAAUUUUCUAAUCGUGGAUAUAAAUUUUUUAAUCAAACAUUUUAAAAACUAUUGACCAAGUAUUUAAAAAAUGUUGAUCAAACAUUUGGAAAUGUGUACAGAAAAAAAGUUGACCAUGUAUUAAAAAACGUUAAACUUGUAUUUGAAAGAGUUGUUCUAUGUUGACACUAGAGAAACAAAUUUAAAUCAAGAAGAGGCAACGGCUAUCGUUUCGUUCAGAAAGGUGAAGCGUUCCCUACCGAAAUCAUCAGGCUUGUUGUGAGAAGUUCUGAUUUGUGAGAAGGUUAUACCCAAACCUGGCCCAAAUGGGACAAAAAUUUUACGACGACAUGUUGAUGCCGCUCCAUGAUAGCAUGCCAUGUUUCAUGAAUUACAGACAAGUUUUGGAUUUACUAGAAUUUAAAAGUCAGGUAUCACAAUUGUCGGUGUCAAAACCGGCGGAUCUCGGGUAGGGGGGUCCCAAGCAGUGUGUCUUAGGAUCAAUGGUAACAGGAGGCAAGGGACACAAUGUUUACCCAGGUUCGGGCCCUCUCAAUGAAGGUAAAACCCUACCCCUGCUUGAUUAAUAUUGAUGAUAUGGGUAGUACAAGAGUUGAUCUACCACGAGAUUAGAUAGGCUAAACCCUAGAAGCUAGCCUAUGGUAUGAUUGUUGUUGUAUAUCUAUUGACUAGCCUGACCUCGGUUUAUAUAAUGUACCAGAGGCCUAGGAUAACAAGAGUCCUAGCCGAAUACGUCGGUGGGGGAGGAGUCCUUGUCUUGAUCGCCAAGUCUUGUGGAAUCUUCCUUGUAUGCGGCAACUGUCCGGACUGGCCCAUGAGUAUACCGCCAUGGGGAUCCUCGGCCCAAUCCAACUGAUCGGGAGACGACGUGGUGAGUACCCCCUAAUCCAGGACACCGUCAGCAGCCCCCUGAACCGGUCUUCAAGUUGGGGACGCUCCUCGAUUCUUCCGAACUGUUCUUCAUCUUCGGUCGUCGGUCUUGAAAACUGGUUUAACAAAUCUUUUCAUCUUCGAUCUUGAGGAUCGCCUAAGUGCAUACGAAGAGUUUACACGUUGGGUAUCCGAGGAGCCCCGUUAAGUUUACGGCCUUUAUCAAUGCCUUGUUAUUUUUAUGCCAUGCCUUGGGUUUGAAGUUAUUCCCAGGAGGCAGUGUCCUCUUGCGUCUGAGCUCUAACGCCGGACUGCAUUCGAGGUAUCUUUUGCAGCUGAGCACCAAUGCCGGACUGCUUCCCAGCUCUAUCGCCGGACUAUGUAUCCGAGCUCCAACGCCGGAUGGUAUACGAGCUCCAACGCCGGACUAUGUAUCCGAGCUCCAACGUUGGACUGUAUCCGAUGUGUCGUCAAUCACCUUGGUUCAAAGAAGUUUGAAGGAGUUUAGCCGAGCUUAAUGCCGGAAAUGCCCUCUAUGGAGCCAGCCACUAGCGUCCGAGCUUUAUGCCGGACUGCUUCCAAGGUGGUGCACCACCUCGAAUGUGGGCCGAUUUUUGUCAAUAUUUUUGAUUGGUGCAAUUUAUUCUCUGCCGAGAUACAUAGCCAUUAGCCCUCAAGGUGGGUAUCGGUCUUAAAACCCGAGAUGCACAUGAAGGAUGACAUAAGACCGCUGAUCCCCGUAGCCGCUGAGACUCAGGUUGAUUUGCAAAAUCGGUCUGAGGAUCAAGUCCUAGCUCGGCAGAAUACUUCGGGACACAAAAAGCGGCGUGCUCAGUCCUCGAGACUCAGGUUGGGUGCGGCCGACCAACCUGAGGAUCAAAAUCUCCUCGGAAACUGUAUUGCACUUAAAAUUUUCUGCAUAGAACAGGCAAUGCAGUAGCCACCGAGACACUGGUCGGGUGGCAACACCAGAUCAGGGGAUCGAUGUGCCCCUUUAAUAUUUGUAAAUAAUAAGCUCGAAGCCCAGUAGCCCCCGAGCCUUAAUGCGGGCACGGGAGACCGAAUUAAGGAUCGAUAUCCAUAGUAAAAUCACAAAUUAUGUGUAAUGACUCUAUGUAUCCAAGUACUUUACGUCAUUAAUGCUCGGAUCCGCAUUGUACAAAACUUUGUUGACCGACCAUCGGCUUCCACCUCCUCGGUCAAUAGCCGAGGAGUGUUUGUCCUACUUUAUAAAGCCUUUAUGAGGGCAAAGAUUUAAAACAAACAAGGCAAUCUGGCCAUACGGUUUUAUAAACAAAGGUACGCGGAGAGACAUGUUAUAUUACUGUUUAAUAGAAGAAAUGUCUUCCAAAAGAAAAUAGUUCCGCUAUCGGUUCCUUUCUUUGGGUUGUCAUGCUAAGCAUGAUCAUGAAACCUCAGCUCCAAUGUAAGAGCAAAAUAUUGAGGAUUUAGUUUGGAAGGCCAGUUAAUAGCCCUCGGUAGUGUUCGGCGACAGUCGAGGUCAAGCCGUAAACACUUCGGCCAUUGUUAUGAAUGGCCCGUCGUUUAACACCGUCAUCGGAUCGCCGACCAAUUUACGCUUAUUGUGACAGUUAGUUUUCGGCUUUCUCCACUGAGGUGCUUAACCAUGUGAGCUGGAAGCACAAUCGCAGUGGUUCUCCCUUUGCACACCUAGCCGAACAAAGCGGAACAUAGGAGGCAAGCGCAGGAGCUGGGCAACCCAACUAUUGCCCGAAGACACAAUUCGAAACCGAUGCAUAUAUGGCAAGAUCCGAGAAUGUUUUUGCCGAAUCUCUAAAGGUGUCCGACGUUGCACUGCGAGACUUGUGCUGAAAACACACAAAUAGUUUAAAAGUGCCAUGGGCUCGAAAAGCCAAAAAACUUAUUCAAAAGGUUAAUGUCCGAACUAGAUCAAGUGUUCGGUGCCAAUCCGAAAAUUGGACUUUAGAAAAAAAGGUGCUUCUGCCGUGCUUUAACAUGACACAUCCUAUCUCAAAACUUCAAGCGGGCCAGCCUACGGCUUCAACCUUCUAUCCCGAAGGCGGAGUACUCUUUACUAGGCCAGUUUAGCAAACUAAACUCUAGCGGCUUUGAGAGAGAAAUUAGGCUCCCCGGCUAGUGACCGCACACUUGUGUCGAAAAAAGGAGUGAUAAAUAAUAAUUAAAACUUUGCAACGACUAAGAAGAAAAACACUUAUCAUAAAACGGCUCAUAUAAAUUUAAGCGCCCCCAAGUGACUUGGGUAAAAGAAUGAUUGCAUGUACCGAAGUACUUAUAUCAUAUCUAUGUUCAACCGAACUUUAAACGCGUCUUAACCGACCAUCGGCUUCUCCCUCUUCGGUCAAGGACCGAAAAGUGUUAUGUACUCCAUCUGUCGAGAAUAUCGACGGUGUUUCCAAUAACCAGGCAAUCAGGCCAUAGGGCUGUAACAGACAAAGCGCACUCAGAGAACUUAUGCUAUAUUACUGCGAAGAGUAAGAAGCAUCUUCGAAGAAAAUAGUACCCCCAUCGAUACCUUUCUUCGAUGCUCAUUGUUAUUAUGAGACUUGUGCAAUAGAUUUUGUGUACUCAUGAGUUCCGUUGUGUGCCGACCAUGAUUGAAAACAAUAAGAGCGCUAGCUUUCGGCUUCACCCAGUCUGAGGUCCGGCUCAGGUGACCCGAUCGUGACAAUCGCAGAGGUGCUCCCUUUACUCCCUAGCCGAACAAUCGGGAACGUAGGGGUAAGCACAGGAGCCAGGCAACCCAGCUUGCAAAUCGUUUAAGUCAAUAUGGUGCAUAUUGUGGCGUAAUACACGAACAAGGAACGAAGCCGUACAAGUAUAACCGUAUGCAAGAGAAAAAAACUUCAUGAAGGAAGCCCCCAAGUAAACAGGGUAUUUGAAUUUGCGCGUCAGAAAUAAAGUUUGGACAAGGAAAUUUUUACAAGCAACUUUUUUCCAAAAAAGUAUAAUGCUUGGCCGAGCCGAACACAAGUUAAAAAUUUAAAACUUUGAGCAUGAAGACAACUUAGCUGGUUAAUGUGUUCGAUAUUGAUGACGCGGUCCGAGCUUGAUGCGGGAUAAGGUUCCAUCCCUGAGCCGGUCCCGAGGUGGCAGAGCAAAGAGCUCGGCACUCCGAAGUGGUGACAUAGCACGGUCAAUGCAGGACGGCAGGGUGAUGCCGAAGUCCCUGGCAUGGGGUAAUAAAGAGUUGACGAAGCCCCCCGUCCAGCUGAGGUGACGCCAAAGGAUAUAGUCCGGCUGGGUCAUUUUCCUGUGCACAAAAAAUAGUGCAAACCGGAGAUAAUAGUAAUAAUAAUAAAAAAAAUCAUUGCAUAACAAAUAAUUUAUGCAAAGUGAGUAAUAAAAGAAAUAUGGCCUGGCGCCGAAGUCAAUGUCGAUGCAGGGCGGCGGCGUGAUGCGGUAAAGGCAUGGCAAGGCCUGAAUUCACAGGUCGGUUCGAGUUCCGGAUGCGGCGUUCGCCGGACUAUGUACGGAAACUGACCGAACCACCAUGCGACCGUCGCUAAUGCGGCCACCAUUUGAUAGACCUGCGUACGUAUGACGGAUAAACCAGAGUAAUAAUUCAUUGGGAAAAAUGAACCCUAACAAGCAAAAAAAAUACUAGGAUUAAUGGCACAUGGCUUAUUUGUUGUAGCAAUCCGAAGAAAGGUGAUUCCCAAAAGUAGGACUCGAUCCACACGGCUAUCUCCUGAUGGGCGAUAAAGCAACGGCAUGGCGAUGCUGGCAAAGGUUGGCUCGCCGAGGCAAAGCCCUCGGUCCAGCUAACGUGACGGAGCUGGUCGGCCAGCGACGCCGAAGUCUCCGGAGUAGGUUGAUGAAGAGAUGAUGAAGCCCCCGGUCUAGCGAUGCAGGUCGUGACGUGGUCGAUGCCGGCUUGAUGAAGUGACCAUGUGGCGAUGCAGGUGUGCCCGCUCCGUGUAAUCCAUGGGGCGGCGAUGUUGGUGACAAUUUAUCCUUCGCGAUGCCGAACUAUUAUUCGGCUGGCCGAGAUGAUGAUCCGAAGAAAUUGAGCUCGGCUCAACAAAGCGACGACGUGUCUAACGCAGGUCGGCCGCCGUGGAGUGAUGUUGUCGGGCUGGUUUGACACCGGCGCGACGGUGAAGUUCGUAUUCCAAGAAUACUUUCAAUACUACUAGGAUGUGUUUGAGAAUAAAACACAACACCCCAUACGAAAACUUCCUUGAAAAAGGAUGUCCGAGAUCCCGUUCAUAAAGAAAAUGAAUUCGGGUCGGAUUCGUUCUCGCGCAGAAAACAGAUCCAAAAAGUGAUGCACUAAUCGGAAGUUUCCCGGAGUUUGGACGGUCGGAUCAAUCUGAAUUUUUGGCAGGUGGUAGAUAUGGGAAUUCCGCAGCAAAUCAACGGUUGGAUCCUCCAAAGGACAUACGAGCUAGAUGCUGGAUACCACACUCUAAACUCGUCCGGAUUCUCGUCCAGAUUCAACAGGGCUCCAGUAUAUCAAAGAUUGCCGGAGAUUCCUCCAUCGGAACUCGACGAAAUUUUUGUAGGGUUGUUGUAGACUUAAUUCCGCAUAAUUUCACUGAAGUAAUCGUUUAAGCGACACUCGAGGAGGCGGUGGCGGCGGAUACAAGUUUACUAUCCAGAAAAACAGCACGGUCGCCUGAGGGCAAUGUUGACGUUGAGCCCCCGAGCUCCAUGGAUGACCUCUCCAUGAUCUUGAUAGAGAUCGGAAUUGGUGUUGAUGAAGGCCUUCAUCCGAACAUGAUGAUCGGAGGUAGGGCGCAGUCCUCGGUCAAACCAAGGUGACCAGUCAAGCUGGUGACGAAGAAGCCGAUGUCGCAGUUGACCUGCAGUCGAGCCAUUGAUCCUUUCGCCGAUCACACAGCGGAACUCUCAAUGAAAGCACCAAUGUCGGUGUCAAAACCGGCGGAUCUCGGGUAGGGGGUCCCAAGCAGUGCGUCUUAGGAUCAAUGGUAACAGGAGGCAAGGGACACAAUGUUUACCCAGGUUCGGGCCCUCUCGAUGGAGGUAAAACCCUACUCCUGCUUGAUUGAUAUUGAUGAUAUGGGUAGUACAAGAGUUGAUCUACCACGAGAUCAGAGAGGCUAAACCCUAGAAGCUAGCCUAUGGUAUGAUUGUUGUUGUAUAUCUAUUGACUAGCCUGGCCUCAGUUUAUAUAAUGUACCAAAGGCCUAGGAUAACAAGAGUCCUAGCCGAAUACGCCGGUGGAGAAGGAGUCCUUGUCUUGAUCACCAAGUCUUGUGGAAUCUUCCUUGUAUGCGGUAACUGUCCGGACUGGCCCAUGAGUAUACGGCCAUGGGGAUCCUCGGCCCAAUCCAACUGAUCGGGAGACGACGUGGUGAGUAUCCCCUAGUCUAGGACACCGUCAACAAUGUUUGUGGCAGAGUGACAAUAACAGGGUGUUUGACAUUCAUUUCCAUUUCUUGCAUGGGACCUAAGCAUGCAACCAAGGAGACAGACUUGAGUUUUCAACCAAUUUAUAUCCAUUAAAGCAUGUGCAUGUAGUUCAAAUUUGAAUUAUGCACAUAAAUGCAUUCAAAGGUCAAUUAAUGCAUAAAAAUGUCCUAACGAACCCUAAAAAAUUUCAAAAAUUUAACACAACACUCCUGUUGUUCUAUAUGUUGAUACUAGAGCAAAAAUUGAAAUCAAGAAGAGGCAACGGAUAUCGUUUCGUCCAGAAACGUGAAUCGUUACGUACCGUAACCAUAAGGCUUGUUGCAAGAAGCUCUGGCUUGUGAGAAGCUUAUACCCUAACCUGCCCCAAAUGGAACAAUAUUUUUACCACUGCAUGUUGCUGCCGUUCCAUGAUAGCAUGUCAAGUUGCAUGAAUUUCAUAUAAGUUUUCGAUUUACUAGAAUUUUAAAACAAUGUAUCUCAAUAUUAGUGGUCGAGCGACAAUGGCAAAGGUGUUUGACAUUCAUUCCCAAUUCUUGUAUGGGACUUAAGGUUGCAACCAAGGACACACAUUUGAUUUUUCAACCGUUUAUAUGCAUUGGAGCAUGUGCAUGUAGUUCAAAUUUGAAUUAUGCACAUGAUUGCAUAGAAAACUUAGUUAAUGUAUAAAAAUGUCCACGCGAACCCCGAAAUAUCCCAAAAAAUUGCAAACACUCAUGUUAUUCUAUGUUAACACGAGGAAAAAAUUGAAAGUAAGAAGAUGCAACAAAUAUCGUUUCGUCCCCUAAGGUGGCACGUUCCCUACCGAAACCAUCAUGCUUGUUGUGAGAGAAGCUCUAGUUUGCGAGAAGAUUAUACCAUAACCUGGCCCAAAUGGGACAAUAUUUUUUACCCCAGCAUCUUGAUGCCGUUCCAUGAUAGCAUGCCAAGGUUCAUGAAUUUCAGACGAGUUUUAUAUUUACUAAAAUUACAAAAGCAAGCACCUCAACGUUUGCCAGAGAGCCAUGGUGCCGUGGUGUUUGAAAUUCAUCCCCAUUUCUUGAAUGGGACGUAAGCAUCAACCCAUGAACAUAUAUAUUAUUUUACAACCCAUUUUGGUGCACCAGAGCAUGUGCAUGUGGUUUAAUUUUGAAUUGUGCACCUGAAAUGGCUAGAAAACCAAGUUACCGUAUGAAAAUGUCCAAACAAACCGUGAAUAAUUCCAAAUUUUUUGACGACACACCUAUAGUUGCAUGUUCACUACAGAUAGAAGUUCUAGCAAUUCAAACACCAUCCAUUGCAGCUGUGACCCUAUUAUGUAAUUCAAAUUAAGAUGAAAAAUCAAGUAGAUCCCACACCGUUUAUUAUCACCAACCGUGUGAGAUGCAGUAUAAAAUAUCCUGGAGCACCGUCGGUAUAUAGUACGCCUAUGGCUUACGCAAGAAGGUUCGUCGGCCACAGUCCAUAGCCAGCGUGUCAAGCACACUAGCUCGCUCCCCAAAUAUCAUUUCAUCGUUCAAUCAUCUCCAGUGAAAGAUGGGGACGUGGACCCGUGUCCUGAGGGCAAUGUCUGAUGACACUUUGUGCACCAGUUUUUUCGCUGAAGUGAUUUUAAAUUUUCGGCUUUCGCGGAAAUAUCUACCCCCUCCCCUCCCCCUUACCAAAAGCCACAUUUCCUCUGUUUCCGCCUUCCUUUCCAAGUUGAAACAUCCACUCCUUGCUUGCAGCGCCGCCCCCUCGCAGGCGACCCUCCUUCAGGCUGCUCGGUAUCGCCUAUUCAGGCAGGUAAUCCACACCCGAACCCCAUCCUCCUCCUCCUUCCACAUCCCACAUGCCUCGAUCGCCGGCACGAGCGCGACACCUUCCACCCAAAUCACAGACCCCUCCACCAAAUAAGCACCUUCCUAAGCCAUGGUGCACGCAGUAUAGGCAGGAUCUCAAGGAGCAUUUGGCAGCGGAGAAGCAAAUCGCGUCCGCACACGCGGAUGAGGUCGCGAUGGCUACCAUUCGUGCCGACCCCCAGAUCUUGGAGGAGCACCUUGCCAUUUGCUAGCUAUGCCGGUUAAGCAUGCUCGGUUUACCCGUUGCGUGUGCCGCUCCUGCCUUUCGUUAACAAAUUGCUCUAGUGUAUAUGUUCUAUAUGUCGUGCAAUGUGGUGCUCACUUAUUAACUGUUUGGUUAAUUAGUUGUUGUGUUCAGUUAACUGUUUGGUUCAGUUCUGCAAAUGUGAUGCUCAAAUCUUCAGGUUGCAAUUUUGUAUUGUCUUCCAUGUGAGAAAUAAAUCGAUUUUUUCUUUACAAAAUAUAUGAGAAACAAAUCCAAUUGCUAUAUUUCCAAGUUGUCAAGCAUGCUUAGUUUUGGUUAACUGUUUGAUCUUCUAGUAUGUUAUACAUUAUGCAAUAUGGUGCUUAGUUAACAUUUGGUUCAUUUGUUGUGGUGUUUAGUUAACUGCUUGGUUUCAUUCUGCAAUGCGAUGUUCAAUUGUUGUGGGUGCAUUCUGUUAUUGUAUACCAUAUGAAAAAUAAAUUGAAUUUGGCUAUACUAAAUACAUGAGAAACAAAUACAAUUGCUAUAUUUCCAAGUUGUUAAGCAUGCUUGGUUUGGUUAACUGUCUGAUCUUCUAUUAGGAGUAUGUUAUGUUGUGCAACGUGGUGCUCAGUUAAUGUUUGAUUCAUUUGUUGUGGUGUCUAGUUAACUGUUUGGUUCAAUUUUGCAAUGCAAUGUCCAAUUGUCGUGGGUAUAAUUUUGUAUUGUUGUGCAUGUGAGGAAUGAUCGAAUUUGGUUGCACUUAAUACAUGGGAAACAUAUACAAUUGCUAUAUUUCCUAGUUCUUAAUGAUGCUUGGUUUGGAUAAAUGGGUUUUCCAUGUGACUUGAAUUAAUCUGAUGAAUCUACAAUGUGCUUAUUUUUCAUCAACUUAUUUUAUCGGUAGCAUGCGAACCCUUACUUAACUUGAUGACUAACUACCUUAUAUGUGUUGUAGGGAAACAAUAUAAUGGGAAGCACUGAGGUUUACAAUCGAGGUUAGCACGUGCAUGGUCCGUUGUCUAAUAGCACAUUAUUGUGCAAUUGCAGGAACCAUUCUAAUACUUAGGUUUUUAACAAUUUGAUCUUGCACAUGUAGGUCCUGCUGUCAGAGGUUUUCACCCACUGUUCGACCCUUUUUGCAUAUGGGGAAAUGAGUUGUCCAUGAAUAUCAAUAAAGUCAAGAAACUCAGAAAGAUUGUUAGGAUAAAGAAAUUGGCGACAAAAAAAAACAAGAUCUUUGUCUGCACAAUGAAGAAGACAUCAGUUCACUACAGGAUGGUACUAACUAUCAUACCUUGUCUUUUUUAUUCCUUUGCCCCAUUUUCAAUAUAGAGAAGAUAUUUAUGCACAUCCUUGUUUUUAGACCUUUCAAAACAGUUCACUGAUGAUUACCUCUCAAACCACCUGUGUGGACAGGAGGCGAGGAAGGUAUUCAUACAACACCCAUGGUUCAAUAUUAAAGUGUUCCUGAAGAGGACGAAGGAUGGACGGUCAAUAAUCUACAGGCACUGUCCUAAAGUUGCAAAGACCUUCAACAUCAAUGAAGGCUCAAUAUUCACCUUCCGCUUCAGCAGUUUUCCCGAUGAGAUGCAUCUGCCUAUGUACCGUCUAUGAUGCUAAUUUUGAAAGGUCAUGUGAAAUUGGGUGCUGGUGCAGUUGUGUAAUGGGGUAGCUGAGUGCUGAAGCUAUCAUGUUAUAAUCUGAUGUAUUUCAAUUAUGAAAUCUUGCUUCCUUAAUAUGGGAAUGAAAUAUAUUAUGUGUUUAAUAUGAAUGUCAAUUAGAUUAAUAAAUGAAUUAUUAAUAAUAUGGCAAUUAGCCUACUAAUGGCAAAUUAGCCUGCUAAUUGGUUUUUGCUAUUACAAACGGUUAUUGAGAAAAUACUGUGGGCGAUGACGGAUGACCUAAGGCAACGCACACAGUUUCUAGGAAUAAACUGUGUUGGAUCUAUGAACAAUCACACACGACAUUCUUUUCAAAACUGUUUGCGUUAGGCCGCCUUGCGCAAACGUUACCGCAUCAAAACUAUGUGUGAUGGAUAGCCUUUGCCAUACAGUUUCUUCUAUGCACCGUGUGUGAUGCAUUCAAUAACGCAAACGAUUUUUUUAAUAUUGUGUGCGAUGGGAACGCCAUCACAAAUGAUUUAACGAAAAAAAUUAUGUGUGAUGUACCUACGAACAGAAAUGUUUUCCUUGCAGCGACUGUGUGAGAUGUAUAUACGAACGGAAAUGUUUCGCGUGGACUGACUGUGUGGGAUGUACUUACGACCGAAAAUGAUUUCGCCUGUAUAAUUGUAUUUUUUUAGCACUAUUGUACGUAUAACCGUAUUUGGUCGCUCGCCGUCCCUCAUUUUACCGAGCGUGUGUGCCAGGAGGGCAUAUCCCCGACGGUUUCUGGAUCAUGUGGGAAGGACCCCCUAAUCGCCCACACUCACUAGACGACGGUUCCAAAUGACGUCUCGGAAAGGGGUUUUAAACCGUUCGUAUAGCACCGACGCGUACCAGUGCCUCCAGUCCACUUAGAUCCCGCACAGGAAGACCAAGAGCGUCCAGAUUGAGAUGGAAUUUGCGCGGAGUUGUCGUGCCCAAUAGCCUGUUGUAGUAGUCAUCCACAAUGGAUGCAAUGUUCUAUUGGCCAGUAAUGUGCUCGUUGUUGUGCGCCAAAGACAGCAACACAUUCUUUCUCUGUCGAUGUCGCGCAUGUUGGUGAAAGAAUCUGGUAUUGGCAUCUCCAUCUUUGAUGUGAAGAAGACGUGAUUUCUGUCUCGCAAUCGUUCGUUCCAGCAACGAAAGCCCAAGGAGCUUUCUCUUCAACCUACGUCUAAGCUCGAUCUUUGACGCGCUGAGAGGCCUAGAGUCCAUGGCCACAUCUAGCCUGAGCAUAAUUUCGAGGGCAAUUUCGAUUUGAAGGCGAACGUUACCAAUCCACUUGAAGCUCCAUGCUUGAAGGUGGCGGGCCGUGGAUGGCCCUGAGUUUGUCAUUGAGAGUCAAAUAUGGAUUAUCAGUCAAAGGUGUAUAGCUCCACGCCUCUUGCACAGUCUCGAAGAACCCUAAUGCUUUAGGUCAAAAGGAUUCAAAUUUAAACCUUUUCCCAAAGUGAAAAUCAGCAUGCAGAUCCAAAAGAAGCGUACAAUGAUCCGAGAUAACAGAUCCAAGGGCGGUGAGUUGGUAGGAGGUGUAUUCAUCUUCCCAUGAGUUCGUAGCAAAAACGUGAUCUAUCUUUUUCAGGGUUGCCAGCUCCCUCUCAUUGGACCAAGUAUAUCUCCUUCUGUUUAGGUAUAUUUCCUUCCGUGCACCCGUAAAAGAAAUAAAAACUGAUAAAAAGAAAAAAAACGGAUAAGUGAGGUGGAAACUCUGGCACACGAUUUGCUCCAUCGUGAUCCUGAAGCAUCAGACGGCUAAAAGCCGUCAACUCGCUUUGUCCGAUUCUGAUCGAAUUCUGACAUGAUGAUACGCAGCGCGUACGCGCUAUAUGGCAUCAUCUGGCGGCCGCCCUAUUUUGGGUAGCUGUGCUGACAUGUCCUGCCAAAAGAAAUCCAGUGACGCUCCUCACAUCGCGCGAGCGCAGCCCCCCACCAAAAAAACAACUCCCCUGCACAAACCUCAUGCAAACUCUUUCUUUUCUCCAUCCGCUGCUACACGCCAUGGCCUAGACGGGGAGGGAGCUCCUGUUAAGCAAUAACACAAAGAAAACCCGGCAAUAAAAUCUAGAAGAAAAGGCGAUAUCACAAUUUGUGAGAAUUGUCUGCUGUAGAUCAGGCAAAAACUCUGGUGGAAAUAGUCAAUUUGUCAGCAAUCAGGCAAAAAAUUCCACCAAAUCACCAGGUAAAGGUCCAUCUCUCUUUUGCAAAAAGAAAAGAAGAAGCAUGAUUCCUUUGUAGUGUGCAAAAACUCUGCUAUACACCCAUGCUUUUGCAGCUUGAUUUUGGAUCUUUUACAAUGGUGAGCCUAUUAUUGCCGCCCCCCUGCUUGUUGAACCUGGA
This 21047-nucleotide long non-coding RNA is filed under the name Triticum aestivum (bread wheat). RNAcentral's name for it is "long non-coding RNA (TAES_LNC022648)". Lineage: Eukaryota; Viridiplantae; Streptophyta; Magnoliopsida; Poales; Poaceae. The record is from RNAcentral.